AAAAAAAAAAAAAAAAAAAGUGUGAAACCAUGGACUGGUGCAUCUUCACUGAUUAUAACACAGUAUGUUCCAAAAGAGAAAUAAGCAAGAAGAAAAAAAGGUGUGAAACCAGGGACUGGUGCAUCUGGACUGAUUAUAAUGUCUACCACUGUAAGUAUGUCUACAAGCCUACCAAUCCUACGAAAUUGUUUUCAUGGAGAGAGAAUCUAUUUAGACAUUAGGUUGUUUUGCUUGAAAUCCUAUGAUAAUAUUUAAAAAUGAUAAAACAUUAAAAAAGGUAGCAAUUAUAUCAUACCGUAGCCAGCAGUUUGAACAU
RNAcentral lists this unclassified non-coding RNA (316 nucleotides) under Hevea brasiliensis (rubber tree). Lineage: Eukaryota; Viridiplantae; Streptophyta; Magnoliopsida; Malpighiales; Euphorbiaceae. The record is from RNAcentral.